Molecule: ribosomal RNA, 253 nt
Filed under: uncultured bacterium
Lineage: Bacteria
Description: partial 16S ribosomal RNA
Rfam family: Bacterial small subunit ribosomal RNA
Source: RNAcentral
GCAGCGAUGCCGAGCUGAUCCUCAAAAGCCGUCUCAGUUCGGAUUGUACUCUGCAACUCGAGUGCAUGAAGGUGGAAUCGCUAGUAAUCGCGGAUCAGCAUGCCGCGGUGAAUACGUUCCCGGGCCUUGUACACACCGCCCGUCACACCAUGGGAUUUGGUUUGACCUUAAGUUGGUGCGCUAACCCGCAAGGGAGGCAGCCAACCACGGUCGGGUUAGAGACUGGGGUGAAGUCGUAACAAGGUAGCCGUAA